GCAUACAUUCGAAACGGGUGUCCAUCACAAGUCUGAUUUGGGGACUGCCUGCUUCUCACCCUUUCCUGCCGCCGGUGUAAAAUUUUCUUCCUGGAAGCCAGAGGGGCCACAAUAGAAAACGUUCCACGUGGUACAUCCUUGCCCACAUGUUCCAUGAUGAUGUUGGGAAGGGGAUAAAUUGGAAAGGGAUCACUAUGCAACACUCUAUACCAGAUGGCAUUGGAGAUGUUGCUCCUGUAUGCUGUGAGAGAGUCAUAUCUCCCGUGCUGCCACAUGAUAUCUUAAAGCAGAAAAUAUGGUGUUUCAACCUGGCAGCAGAGAGAGGAGGAAGCUCAAGGUGUGCCACUAUCAGCAUCCUUAUGGAAGAUCAGCCCACUGUUAAUUCACCUUAAAAAAGUAUUUUGGUAUGUGGGGUUUCUACCUGUCUUGAAACAUGUUAAAGUUAUAAUCCUUGAGGUUUUCAUUAAAUAAAAAAUAUUUUUGAUAA
Long non-coding RNA from Micropterus salmoides (largemouth bass), 487 nucleotides. RefSeq lists it as uncharacterized. The transcript has 3 exons. The record is from RefSeq and is a predicted model, not a curated record. NCBI's taxonomy places the organism in Eukaryota, Metazoa, Chordata, Actinopteri, Centrarchiformes, Centrarchidae.